UCUUAGAUAAUGAAACCAUAUAUUAUAAAUAUCCGGUCUUUUAGACUUGAAUAAAAGAAACCACAAACUUAUAAACUCUGGUGCCUUAUAUCAAGUUGAUAAUGCUGAGGGUCAAAGAGACCGUAUAUAUAAUAGCAUUGGUUUCUUUUUUUUUAGGGAAAAAAAAUAGAGCGCCAAUUCACCCUAAAAUUUCCCUCCGACAUACUAAAAAUUCCCUUCCCUCUAGAAAAUAUACUAAGUAUAUUAAUUUUGAAAAAAAAAAAUAUUCUUCGGUUUUAAAAAAGAAAAAAAAUAUUCUUCACUUCCAAUUGACCAAACCGACUCUGGUACUACAUGCUACUUUUCCGCCAUAGCCCAAACCAACUCUGCUACUUCUUGCUACUUUUCUGAUCGCUGCUCUAUUGCUGGUGAUCCUAGUACUCUAUUAAAGGAAAUUUUAUUUCUUUCGUAAUUCAAUUCAAUAUUUCAAAAGUUAGGGUUUAUUGCUUUCAACCGCAUUCGUAAUCGCCUAAUCUACCACUAGCACCAAUACUCGUCGAAUUGCCUAAUCCAGCCACCAAUCCCAAUUUUGCGACAGCUAAUGGCAAGAAAGAAAAAGCCGGUACAAUAACAUGAAGGUAAUGAUGACGAAGAUAAUUCUGAUAUUGAACGACUUAGCCGUGAAGAUGAAAGGGGUCGUACAGUACUUGCUGCUGUUGGAAAGGCAAUUCAAAACGGGACCAAGAUCCCUUUAGAGUGGGAUCCUAUAACUAAGUUGCCAUGUGGGAACAUAAACUUACCUUUUCUGGCUAUAUUGGUGUAGUUGUUCGGGAACGAAUAUGCAUCACUUAUGAAACGUGGAAAAAAGUUCCAAGAGUUUUCUUAGAUGAUAUUUAUGACAUAAUAAAGAAAGGUUUUGUAGUCUUAGAAGAGUGUAAGGAGUAUAUUUUGCAGCAAGCAGAUUGGAGAGCUGUAAAAACCCAGUUGAGAAGAGAUUGGCUAUACCAUAAAAAAACUAGAAGGUUAAGAGAAAAGCCACCAGAUUGGAAAUAUCCUUGGAUCACUUAAGAUAUUUGGGACAAAUUUGUUACAAUGAGUAUUGAUGAUAAGUUCAAGGUGGUGAGCGAAUGUAGUCGAGCAAGGUCAAAGCUUAAAAAUUCAAGCUAUCGUGGAGGGCCACUUGGUUAUCAAUACUAUCGAGAUGAGAUAAAAUAGAAUUCUUGAAAAAAGGGAUCCAUAUUGACCAUGUGCCUCGACACGAAACUUGGUUGCGAGUUCAUUCCCAUUUUAAAGAUAGAAAAUAUACUUUUAAGAAUCCAAUUGAUCAAGAGACAGCUGAUGCAAUUAAUGCAUUAAAAGAUCAAGCAGAGAGAGGAGAAAUAAUUUUCGAGAACCGACAUGAUGAUAUUUUGGCCCGAGCACUGAAAAAGGUGGAGCGUGGAGGAAAUGUAAGGGGCGUUGGAUCAGGUAUAACAAAGAAGCAGUACUUUGGUUCUGCAAAACCAACACCACCUAGCCAAUUGCACAAUGAACUUAAUUGUGUCAGGUCAGAGGUGGCAAUGCUGAAAAACCAAAAUAAUGUCAUAAUGUCUUAUUUGUUAUCGGGCCAAAACAUAGGGGAGUUUAAGCAAUUGAUGGCCAGCGGUAUUAGUGGCCAAUCUAGUGUUCCCAUUGGUCAAGACAAUGGCUCUGGAAACCUAAUAGUACUUGUUCUCAGCAAGAAAAUGCUACCCAAGUUACUAGUUCAUCUGAAUUUGGAUCAGAUACAGGAUUUUUUACCAAGCUUCUACGUGGAGGUGUUAAUCAAGGUGGCCAAAGUGCUAUAUUUUUCUCAAGGAAAUCCUUACACUCGGUCUCAAGAUUUUCAAGAAACGGAAUACAAUCGGCCUCAUAGUGAAAAACAAGAACAUGAGCUAGAGCCUUACCAAGUUUCUUGGCCUGAUACUACUAAUGCUAACUCACCACAACAAGGAAAUUGUAUGUUCCUUAGCCCGAUACAUAUGACACUCAACCUAUUAGCAACCUUCCUAAGGGUAUGCAUGACUGUUGCUUAGCGACUGAAGAUGACAAAGAAAUCCAGAUUAUUGCAAUUGGGCAAGUUUACAUAUCAGGGUCGACAUUAGUGGUAAAGAAUCAUUAUUUUUUAUUUGGCCCCUGGUACUCAUCGAGUCUCUAUACUUGAUGACCUGGUGCCAACAACAUUACUUCCAUGUCCUACUGAGCUUUUCACCUUUGUUUGUCAAGCAAAGGAUACCUUUGUUCCCUGGCCGACUCAUUUAAUUUUCUCAAAGAAAAAGAGCCAAAGAUUAGUACAUACAGUAAUACAGAUUAUAAAGGUGGAGCUUGCUCACUUCCUUCCAACAAGUCAGUUCCCCUUCACAUCAAACAACCUGAGGUAACAUUACAAACCCCUGUCUUCUCAAUAAUCCACACAUUAUUUGCCAGUGUAUGACAGCUAUCUCUUACGUGCAAGUUUGGAUUUGGCCUUCCUUCUUUGAAAGAAAGAUCUCCUGAUAUAUAUACUAGCAAGUUUGUCAUGAAUAAAGCAACAAGGAUUUAUAUAUUCAGCAACACCACAUGAGUUACUCACCUUCACUCAUCACCCAUUCAAAGACAAUGCGCCUUCCAGAUCACUAAUCAUAUCCAUGCUUACCCAAUCAUAUAUCAGCUAAAUGUUUGAAACUGUCACAACCCAAUUAUGUAUUAGCAUCUUUGUACUGUAAUAGUUUUUCAAUUCUCAUCUAAUUUGUUUUUUCUUUAAUUUUAUUUCUAGUUUACAUCUAAUAUAUUUAUUUCUUGUGGUGUACAAAAUUCUCUAAGAUCAAUAAUCAGCUUAAAGAUAAGGAGAAUACCCCUAUAUCGAGAUUGCCAUCGACAGAAGCUUCAUCUAAAAAGCCGUAUAACAUCACUAAUAAAGAUCGUGCCAUGGUGACAUCUUGUUUAUUGGAAGCUUUUAAGAAAGAAGCUAUGGGAUUGAGACAGAGGAAUGGGAACAUAAUUUUGAACAUCCCGUUUAAUGUUUUCUACAACGAGAUGGUAAUUCGGCUUGAUUAUGAAGAUAUAUUUGAUUGGUGUUUUCAAAGAGAGGUACUUGAGCGAAGAGUGUCAAAAGGAGGGUAUAUCAGGGUUGUAUGGUUUUUGCGAUGUUAAUUUUAUUUCUCCGUUAACCCCGACAAAAGAAGGCGUUAUGCGGAAUGGUGAGCUUUAGCGUUAUUGGUCGAAAGGAUAUCAAGAAAAUGAAAAAAAGAACCCCGAAGUUUUGUGGCUUAAACUACAUGUCCACGUCAAUAUCAAGACACCAAAGAUUGUGGAUAUUAUGUAUGCCGCUACAUGCAAGAGAUAAUAACAAGGAGACAACAAGUAGUUCCAGAAAAGCUCCCGCUACUUAUCAUCAAAAAACGAUAGACGAAAUACGAGACACUUUGGUUACGUAUGUUUUUAAGCAAAAAGAAGUCAGUGAUGAUGGUAUGGCUGAUGAUCAUGAAUGAUUAUCGCACAUAUUUAAACAUUGUAUAUAUAUUUUGGGAUAUAAGGAUUUUUGCUUAUGGAGGCCAAUGAAUAGAGUUUAGACUUUGGAGAAUUUUAGAUUAUGUUUUAUUUUUAUUUUUUUUAUUAGAAAAUGGAUAGUGAUGUUUAGUGAAUUAUUGUCUUAUAAUCAGCUUUCUUUUCUUUCUUUUUUUUUUUAAAUUUUUUUUAGAUACAUAAUGUACAGUGUAUAAUUAAAUAUAUUUAGUGAAGUAUUAAAUUAUUGAGCCCAAUUCGAUAUUGUUGUAGUUAUUUAAUAUAUGAUACUAAAGGUCUACAAGUGCAUAUAUAUAGCAGGUUGAAACAAUUUUAUUAGUUAUCAAUUUAGACAGCAUCACCCCAGCCAACGUAUA
Long non-coding RNA from Chenopodium quinoa (quinoa), 3857 nucleotides. RefSeq lists it as uncharacterized. The transcript is spliced from 11 exons. The record is from RefSeq and is a predicted model, not a curated record. Lineage: Eukaryota; Viridiplantae; Streptophyta; Magnoliopsida; Caryophyllales; Amaranthaceae.